ACCGUACUCCUACGGGAGGCAGCAGUGGGGAAUUUUGGACAAUGGGGGCAACCCUGAUCCAGCAAUGCCGCGUGAGUGAAGAAGGCCUUCGGGUUGUAAAGCUCUUUUGUCAGGGAAGAAACGGUAGUAGCUAAUAUCUAUUACUAAUGACGGUACAUGAAGAAUAAGCACCGGCUAACUACGUGACAGCAGCCGCGGUAAUACGUAGGGUGCAAGCGUUAAUCGGAAUUACUGGGCGUAAAGCGUGCGCAGGCGGUUGUGUAAGUCAGAUGUGAAAUCCCCGGGCUCAACCUGGGAAUUGCAUUUGAGACUGCACGGCUAGAGUGUGUCAGCGGGGAGUAGAAUUCCACGUGUAGCAGUGAAAUGCGUAGAUAUGUGGAGGAAUACCGAUGGCGAAGGCAGCCCCCUGGGAUAGCACUGACGCUCAUGCACGAAAGCGUGGGGAGCAAACAGGAUUAGAUAACCUAGUAGUCCUUGAC
Molecule: ribosomal RNA, 479 nt
Filed under: uncultured bacterium
Lineage: Bacteria
Description: bacterial SSU rRNA
Rfam family: Bacterial small subunit ribosomal RNA
Source: RNAcentral